UACGAAGGGGGCUAGCGUUGCUCGGAAUCACUGGGCGUAAAGGGUGCGUAGGCGGGUUUUUAAGUCAGGGGUGAAAUCCUGGAGCUCAACUCCAGAACUGCCUUUGAUACUGAGAAUCUUGAGUACGGGAGAGGUGAGUGGAACUGCGAGUGUAGAGGUGAAAUUCGUAGAUAUUCGCAAGAACAUCUGUGGCGAAGGCGGCCAUCUGGACCAGCACUGACACUGAGGCACGAAAGCGUGGGGAGCAAACAGG
Molecule: ribosomal RNA, 253 nt
Filed under: uncultured bacterium
Lineage: Bacteria
Description: partial 16S ribosomal RNA
Rfam family: Bacterial small subunit ribosomal RNA
Source: RNAcentral